Drosophila yakuba is the source of this 2922-nucleotide long non-coding RNA. RefSeq lists it as uncharacterized. The transcript has 2 exons. Lineage: Eukaryota; Metazoa; Arthropoda; Insecta; Diptera; Drosophilidae. The record is from RefSeq and is a predicted model, not a curated record.
ACUGGCUGUGGCAUCCAGGAGAAAGAAAAACUUACGCCUGAACCUUAGCAGACAGCGACUAAAGUGGUCAACAACAAACGGAACUAAUGCACAACAUGCAGAAUGGAAACCAUAUUGACAAGAUGCAGUAUCCAUGGAGAAAACUGUAGGACGGGUGGAAAAUAGAGCAGCAGCGGUUGAAACAUAAAGCAAUAAACAAGAAAAUACCAAAUGCAUACGAGGCAGCAAACAUGACAAGCAGCACUGGCAGCAAACCAAACAGAAAGGAUACUCGUACAUGAGAACAUGAAUAUACAUAUAUAUAUAUACACAUAUAUUUUAUAUAUAUGUAUAUCCUCGGCGCUGGAUGCCCUGUGUGGAAAGCUUUGGCUAGACAAUAACUGUAAAAUGUAAAUAUUAAUAUUGUCAUAAUAGACAAGACAACUUGAAAGGCAGAAGCCGUGGGAGUGGCGUGUCCAGAGAGGAUGACGACGACGCCCAAGCGGAUGCGAUGACUAUUGCCCCUAUGGAUGCCGAUCCUGACGAGUAGCCGCAAAAGUGCCGUUAAGCUGCGCACUGUCGAAUGCGAGCGUUUCAAAGCGAAACGGAUGAGACCAAAUGGGAAACAGAAUACAAAAUGUCAGCUCAUUUCCGGUUGCUUAAUUUGAAAUCGUUGUGCCAAAAAUUACAAAUGAGCUGACAAUGGCACACCGAAGGAACCAAACAAGCGAAAAAUAACAGGACACGGCAGGACAUGGCUGCCAGACGGAGAGGGGCAUGACGACAAUAAGCACAAAAUAGCAGCGUCUAAUACGCAAAAUAAACGAGAACUGGCCACAGCAUGACAGCCAGGAUAACACUGGCCAGCUGGGCGCAGUCCUUUUGCCCCCUAACCCCAUUGCCAUAUCGCCCCACAGCCCCCUCUCCAUUAAAACUCGCACCACACAGCCCCUCGUGUUUUACAAUUUAACGCACAUCCUAGCAAGGCAACGCCCCAUAGUUUAAUUUUUGUCUCCUCGAUGUGUGCAUGCAAUUCGUACACUUACCAAGAAGGAUGGAAAAAAGAUUGUAAGAGAAUAAAUAAUACACGUCGACAUAUAAAGAUAUAAAUCCGCUUUACCCUUCAACAGAAACUAGUUAAGUUGGAGUGGUAAAAUAACUUGAGCUUCUAAUACAUACGGUAUUUCUUUCAGUGUUUUCUCCCUCUCUGUCACUCGUUCAUCUCUAUCCCUCUUCCGCCGGCCUUGCUGCACUCUAAUCUAAUGACGACAAGCGUGAGGGCCAGGAGAAGCUCCUCUGAUAACCACGGCUUUGAGUGUCGCUCUUUUAUUGCGUAUACGCCAUGUGCAACUCACAUACUCACACAGGGAUGGACGCCACAAUGUGUCGAAAAUUUGGAGCGUCCAUCGUCAUUCACCUUUUUGUUGAGUGCAGGCGAUAAAAUGUUCGGCGAGCACACCAUCUACCAUCAUCAAGAUCUUUCCUCCACCUCCUUCUCACCUUUCUUGCCCUUCAAGAACUCUUCCAUCUGCUGACAGCAUUUUGGCCAAGGAGUCUCUGCCAAAUGGUCAAGUGGCAGACUAUGAGUAAAGUGAAAAAGUCAUUUAAGGUGGAUUCACAUAACAUGAAAAUGAGAAGCCUAUGAAGUAAUUUCUGAAGGAACAAUCGACUGUAUAAUAAGUAUAUAAAAAUUAAGAUAAGAUUGAUAGAAAGUUCUUUCAAGUAAGUUGAGUUCUUGGAAUUAUUUCUUCUUUUUCCAAUGAACCAGCAAGCAACUAGGAAACCCGUUUACACCUUACCUAGCAGUUUACGUUCGACUUAAUUAACGUUCAACAACUAAUUGAAUAAUUUAUGCAAGUCAAAUAAAUGACAUGUCAACAUAUAAUUAAUUGUGGCGCCCAAAAUGCCGCUAAGUAAACGAGGAAUCGCGGAAAAGUUCUCAAUUUAUGCAUGAUUUACAUCUACCAUGGAGAAGCGUGGUCUCUUUUAGCAGCUAAUUAAAUGUUUGUAAUGAAAAAACAUAACAAACAAUGAAAGUGCAUGGUGAGGGAAAACUAAGCCUCUUCUUGGGGACCAAGAGUCCGCUGUUUUUCCCAACUUGUCUUGCACUUUUGAGGUCAUCCUGGGAGUCUCUUAGGAUGUCCUUAGCCCUGUCAGCGGCUCCUUCUGUUGGCCAGCAUAAUUUUGUUAUUGUUUCUGCAUUGCAUUACAAGCAACUACGGAGCAACUAUUGCUGCUGCUCCAUAAUCUAUUGGAUUAGUGAAAAUUCAAUUAGGCCGGGCCAAGGAGCCUCCAUUUGCUGCGCAGGAUCUAAUGAAAUUAAACUGCGAGCUCUUCAACUUUAAGUUUAACACUACGAUGUUCCCUGUGCUUUCGGCAGCAAUUACUUUUGUGCGAUUCAGGCCCGCUGCUCGUCAAAUAUUUGUUUAACGGGCUAAACAAAAUGUCGCCCACUAAAUCCAUGUCAAAAUCCAGCUAUAAAAAUAAUAAAUAAACCUACAAAAAAAUACCUAAAUCAUUCGAUCUACGAGAAGCGCAAAAAAGGCCGUAAAGCUCUAUAAAAAAUGACUGUGAAUUUCAAACCAAGUGCAAACAUUGUUGUAUCACAAAUAUUUACAACACUUUAAACUAUAUGGCAGCUUUUGAAGCAGCAAAAACCAACCACAUCAAUGGGCAAAAACAAAUGUGUAUCAGUAAAUGAUUGCAAAAAUGUGUGUUAAACAGCCCACACAUAAAGGGACCAAUUAAAAAAUCGAAUUGGAAAAGAUUUCGGAAACUAAGAAUGUAAAAUUAAAUCAUAGGAACUAUGUAAUAAAAAUCAGAAUACCUAUAUAUUAUUUGCUAAUAUAUAUCCAGAUAAAUAACCUUACAUUUAGGAAGGCGUUUCAGAAAGUAUUGUAAAAACUUACAAAAUGUAAUCAAUAUAGUUUAGUCUGCCAACAA